RNAcentral lists this long non-coding RNA (1037 nucleotides) under Bos grunniens (domestic yak). Its description in RNAcentral is "lncRNA (ENSBGRG00000017159.1)". Lineage: Eukaryota; Metazoa; Chordata; Mammalia; Artiodactyla; Bovidae. The record is from RNAcentral.
AUGCCAGUAUUCAUGGGCUUCCCUGGUGGCUCAGCUGGUAAAGAACCCAUCUGCAGCAUGGGAGACCUGGGUUUGAUCCCUGGAUUGGGAGGAUCCCCUGAAGAUGGGAACAGCUACCCACUCCAGUAUUCUGGCCUGGAGAAUUCCAUGGACUGUACAGUCUAUGGGGUCGCAGAGUCGGACACAACAGAGCAACUAUCACUUUCACUAAUAAAUUACUUACCAUCAGGAUUGGUAAACGUUACGUUUUCUAAUAACUUUGGGGAAGGAAAACUUAUUUAAAAUUGCCUUUCAAGUACAGGUAAAGAUAUAAUUGAAAACCAAUUUGGAUAACCUACGAUUGAAUUUCCUGAGCCUGUGAGUCUUAUGUUUGACACUAAAUUCUAAGGUACAAUUUUAAUAGAAUAAAUGUGACACUAUUGUUGGGACAAAAGAAAAGGGCAAAGUAAAGAUAACUAAAGAACCGCUGGAGAAGGGACAGGCUGCUGCUGCUGCUAAGUCCCUUCAGUCGUGUCCGACUCUGUGCGAACCCAUAGACGGCAGCCCCCCAGGCUCCCCUGUCCCCUGGAUUCUCCAGGCAAGAACACUGGAGUGGGUUGACAUUUCCUUCUCCAAGGGAUAGGCUACCCAUGCUGAUAUUUUGGGGCUUCCCUUGUGGCUCAGCUGAUAAUCUGCCUGCAAUGUGGGAGACCUGAGUUUGAUCCCUGGGUUGGAAAGAUCCCCUACAGAAGGGAAAGGCUACCCACUCCAGUAUUCUGGCCUAGAGAAUUCCAUGAACUGUAUAGUCCAUGGGGUCACAAAGAGUCAGACAUGACAGAGUGACCUUCACUUUCAUAAAUAGGCUGAAAAAGGAGAGACAACUGAGUGCGGGUCAGGCUUUAGAUGUGACUUUUGUUUUCUCUACUUUGGGCAACGGAGGCUGGAUGAGUGCUCAGUUUUUGUAAAAGCAGCCCUGGGGGAUUCUGGGGGCAUUCCCUGGCCGUCCAGUGGUUGAGACUCCGUGCUUCCAAUGCAGGGGACAUGAGUUCAAGCUGUGG